CGCGUAGGCGGUUUGAUAAGUCAGAUGUGAAAGCCCACGGCUUAACCGUGGAAGUGCAUUUGAUACUGUCAGACUUGAGUACCAGAGGGGAAAGUGGAAUUCCCGGUGUAGAGGUGAAAUUCGUAGAUAUCGGGAGGAAUACCGGUGGCGAAGGCGACUUUCUGGCUGGAUACUGACGCUGAGGCGCGAAAGCGUGGGGAGCAAACAG
RNAcentral lists this ribosomal RNA (208 nucleotides) under uncultured delta proteobacterium. RNAcentral's name for it is "partial 16S ribosomal RNA". It matches the Rfam family "Bacterial small subunit ribosomal RNA", at positions 568 to 775 of the family's 1533-position model. The record is from RNAcentral. Lineage: Bacteria; Deltaproteobacteria.